RNAcentral lists this ribosomal RNA (402 nucleotides) under uncultured bacterium. RNAcentral describes it as "bacterial SSU rRNA". It matches the Rfam family "Bacterial small subunit ribosomal RNA", at positions 601 to 995 of the family's 1533-position model. The record is from RNAcentral.
CUCCUAGUUUCGCAACCCAGGAAUCUGCAAUUGGAUACGGGCAAACUAGAGUGCAGUAGGGGAGACUGGAAUUCCUGGUGUAGCGGUGGAAUGCGCAAAUAUCAGGAGGAACACCGAUGGCGAAGGCAGGUCUCUGGGCUGUAACUGACGCUGAGGACCGAAAGCAUGGGGAGCGAACAGGAUUAGAUACCCUGGUAGUCCAUGCCGUAAACGUUGGGCACUAGGUGUGGGGAACAUUCCACGUUUUCCGCGCCGCAGCUAACGCAUUAAGUGCCCCGCCUGGGGAGUACGGCCGCAAGGCUAAAACUCAAAGGAAUUGACGGGGGCCCACACAAGCGGCGGAGCAUGCGGAUUAAUUCGAUGCAACACGAAGAACCUUACCAAGGCUUGACAUGCUCUCGA